CCUACGGGGGGCAGCAGUGGGGAAUAUUGCGCAAUGGGCGAAAGCCUGACGCAGCGACGCCGCGUGAGGGAUGAAGGUCCUCGGAUCGUAAACCUCUGUCAGCAGGGAAGAACGGUCACUGUCCUAAUCAGCAGUGAAUUGACGGUACCUGCAAAGGAAGCACCGGCUAACUCCGUGCCAGCAGCCGCGGUAAUACGGAGGGUGCGAGCGGUAAUCGGAAUUACUGGGCGUAAAGCGCUCGUAGGCGGUAUGUCAAGUCAAGGGUGAAAUCCCCGCGCUCAACGUGGGAACUGCCUUUGAAACUGGCAAGCUGGAGUGUGUGAGAGGAUAGUGGAAUUCAAGGUGUAGGAGUGAAAUCCGUAGAUAUCUGGCAGAACAUCAGUGGCGAAGGCGACUAUCUGGCACAUAACUGACGCUGAGGAGCGAAAGCGUGGGUAGCAAACAGGAUUAGAUACCCUGGUAGUC
Molecule: ribosomal RNA, 465 nt
Filed under: uncultured bacterium
Lineage: Bacteria
Description: partial 16S ribosomal RNA
Rfam family: Bacterial small subunit ribosomal RNA
Source: RNAcentral